GACGAACGCUGGCGGCGUGCUUAACACAUGCAAGUCGAACGGUAAGGCCCUUCGGGGUACACGAGUGGCGAACGGGUGAGUAACACGUGGGUGAUCUGCCCUGCACUUCGGGAUAAGCCUGGGAAACUGGGUCUAAUACCGGAUAGGACUCCGGACUGCAUGGUCUGGGGUGGAAAGCUUUUGCGGUGUGGGAUGGGCCCGCGGCCUAUCAGCUUGUGGGUGGGGUGAUGGCCUACCAAGGCGACGACGGGUAGCCGGCCUGAGAGGGUGACCGGCCACACGGGGACUGAGAUACGGCCCAGACUCCUACGGGAGGCAGCAGUGGGGAGUAUUGCACAAUGGGCGCAAGCCUGAUGCAGCGACGCCGCGUGAGGGAUGACGGCCUUCGGGUUGUAAACCUCUUUCAGCAUCGACGAAGCGAAAGUGACGGUAGGUGCAGAAGAAGGACCGGCCAACUACGUGCCAGCCGCCGCGGUAA
RNAcentral lists this ribosomal RNA (478 nucleotides) under uncultured bacterium. Its description in RNAcentral is "partial 16S ribosomal RNA". It matches the Rfam family "Bacterial small subunit ribosomal RNA", at positions 28 to 523 of the family's 1533-position model. The record is from RNAcentral.